Molecule: ribosomal RNA, 98 nt
Filed under: Cylindrobasidium laeve
Lineage: Eukaryota; Fungi; Basidiomycota; Agaricomycetes; Agaricales; Physalacriaceae
Description: partial 5.8S ribosomal RNA
Rfam family: 5.8S ribosomal RNA
About the family: 5.8S ribosomal RNA (5.8S rRNA) is a component of the large subunit of the eukaryotic ribosome.
Source: RNAcentral
AUAACUAAUGUGAAUUGCAGAAUUCAGUGAAUCAUCGAGUCUUUGAACGCACCUUGCGCCCUCUGGUAUUCCGGAGGGCAUGCCUGUUUGAGUGUCAG